Molecule: non-coding RNA, 577 nt
Organism: Gorilla gorilla gorilla (western lowland gorilla)
Lineage: Eukaryota; Metazoa; Chordata; Mammalia; Primates; Hominidae
Source: the annotation of a RefSeq genome assembly
AAAAGGAGGCCUGGGGCAGCCCAGUCCCACUGUGGGGUAAGAGGUUGUGUCCACCAUGGCCUGGACUCCUCUCCUCCUCCUGCUCCUCUCUCACUGCACAGGUUCCCUCUCGCAGCCUGUGCUGACUCAGCCAACUUCCCUCUCAGCAUCUCCUGGAGCAUCAGCCAGACUCACCUGCACCUUGCGCAGUGGCAUCAAUCUUGGUACCUACAGGAUAUACUGGUACCAGCAGAAGCCAGGGAGUCCUCCCCGGUAUCUCCUGAACUACUACUCAGACUCAGAUAAGCACCAGGGCUCUGGAGUCCCCAGCCGCUUCUCUGGAUCCAAAGAUGCUUCGACCAAUGCAGGGAUUUUAGUCAUCUCUGGGCUCCAGUCUGAGGAUGAGGCUGACUAUUACUGUAUGAUUUGGCACAGCAGUGCUUCUCACAGUGACACACACAGAUGGGGAAGUGGGACAAAAACUUCACCCUGAUCUGGGUCUUGUUCUGUAACAGUUUUUAAAUUUUAAAAUAACCAGCCAAGGGACAAACUAAAUUUGGCAAUAACUUUCUAGUUGUAAAAGGCUCUUCUCUCAAUU